This 2129-nucleotide ribosomal RNA is filed under the name Neoechinorhynchus cylindratus. RNAcentral's name for it is "partial large subunit ribosomal RNA". It matches the Rfam family "Eukaryotic large subunit ribosomal RNA", at positions 829 to 2835 of the family's 3401-position model. The record is from RNAcentral. Lineage: Eukaryota; Metazoa; Acanthocephala; Eoacanthocephala; Neoechinorhynchida; Neoechinorhynchidae.
AACUAUGCCUGAGUAGGAUGAAGCCGGAGGAAACUCUGGUGGAGGUCCGAAGCGUUUUUGACGUGCAAAUCAAUCGUCAGACUUGGGUAUAGGGGCGAAAGACUAAUCGAACCAUCUAGUAGCUGGUUCCCUUCGAAGUUUCCCCCAGGAAAGCUGGUGCCAUGUUUGACAGUUUUAUCUGGUAAAGCGAAUGAUUAGAGGCAUUGGGGACGAAUUGUCCUCGACCUAUUCUCAAACUUUAAAUGGGUAAUGUACCGUUGUACUUCUUGAUAUUCAUGAGUGCUCGGUCAAAUGCAAUGGCGCCAAGUGGGCCAUUUUUGGUAAGCAGAACUGGCGAUGUGGGAUGAACCAAACGUUGAGCUAGGAUGCCCAAAGUGCUUCUCAUGAGAUACCAUGAAAGGUGUCAGUCGAUAUUGACAGCAGGACGGUGGCCGCAGAAGUAGGAAUCCGCUAAGGAGUGUGUAACAACUCACCUGCCGAAUCGACUGGUCCUGAAAAUGGAUGGCGCUGGAGACGUAUAUCCAUGCUCGACCGUCAAUGCCAACGAAAGCGAUUGCUAUAUGGCUUGACGUGUAGAAGGGCGAUUGCCGUGGCGUCGAAACUUGCACCGUGAGGUGGGGUAGAGCUGCGGCAUGUGCAGAUCUUGGUGGUAGUAGCAAGUAUUCAAAUGAGAGCAUUGAAGACUGAAGUGGAGUAAGGUUCCAUGUGAACAGCAUUUGGACAUGGAUCAGCCGAUCCUAAGAGAACGUGUAAGUUCGUGAUUAAGCGCGUCGCCUUGUGCGUCGCAAUCGAAAGGGAAUCGGGUUAAUAUUCCCGAGCCAGGAUACGGAAUGAGCCUGAUUAAUCGAAAGUACCUUGUGUGCUUUUGACUUCAGGCAAAAGCGGCAACGCCAACAAACCCAGAGAUUAACUAUGCGAAGUCCGGGGAAGAGUUUUCUCUUCUUUGUAAGGGAUGUUAUCCCUGGAAACAGAUUGUCUGGCGAUAGGGUACGCAUCCCGUAAUGCAACGCGAUUCCUGCGAUGUACCGUGCGCUUCGUAUAGUGCUUGAAAAUCUGGGAGCGAGUUUGUUCAGGCCGUACCUGUUCGUACUGAUUUCCGCAGCAGGUCUCCAAGGUGAGCAGCCUCUAGUCGAUGGGACAAAGUAGACAAGGGAAGUCGGCAAAUUAGAUCCGUAACUUCGGAAAAAGGAUUGGCUCUAAAGGCUGAGUUGGUCGGGCGGUUGUGUUAAGCUGGGAGCGAUGCUUUGACUCUGUCUCAGACUCCAUACUCGCAAGGGAUAUGUAAUCGGCGGCGGAGCUUAGUAUUUGCUCACUGUGGACCGCGGUCGCUAUGCCACCCAUGCGGUGUCAAAAUUCAUUUUCGAGCCGUGCGGUGUGGAUCCGAUCAGCGUUUAACAGCUGACCUAGAACUGGUAUGGACAAGGGGAAUCCAACUGUUUAAUUAAAACAAAGCAUUGCGAUAGCUGUAAUCGGUGUUGACGCGAUGUGAUUUCUGCCCAGUGCUCUGAAUGUUAAAGUGAAGGAACUCAUUAAAGCGCGAGUUAACGGCGGAAGUAACUAUGACUUUCUUAAGGUAGCCAAAUGCCUCGUCAUCUAAUUAGUGACGUGCAUGAAUGGAUUAUUGAGAUUCCUUCUGUCCCUGUCUGCAACCUAGCGAAACCACAGCCAAGGGAACGGGCUUGGAGAGUAACAGCGGGGAAAGAAGACCCUGUUGAGCUUGACUCUAGUCAGUCUUUGUGAAGAAACAUGAUGGGUGUAGAAUAGGUGGGAGGACGCGACAGUGAAAUACCACUACUAUCAUCGUUUCUUUACUUACUCAAUUGAUCAGGGAGCGUGAAUUCGCUAUUUGCGAUGUAUGAUUAUUCCUUCAGUGGAAUAAGUGUCUGGUUUGAGAACACAGACUGAUUGGGAGUUUGACUGGGGCGGUACAUCUGUUAAAAUCUAACGCAGGUGUCCUAAGGCAAUCUCAGCGUGGACAGAAACCUCGCAUAGAGCGAAAGGGCAAAAGAUUGCUUGAUCUUGAUUUUCAGUACGAAUAAAGACAAUGAAAGUUUGGCUUGUCGAUCCUUUUGAAUUUUACGAGUUUUAAGCAAGAGGUGUCAGAAAAGUUACCACAGGGAUAACUGGCU